CGUGGUGAUCAUAUCGCAGGGGACCCACCCGUUCUCAUCCCGAACACGGAAGUUAAGCCCUGCAGAGCCGAGAGUAGUGUGACGGACACGUCAUGUGAGGGUAGGACGUCGCCACUU
Molecule: ribosomal RNA, 117 nt
Filed under: Clostridiales bacterium
Lineage: Bacteria; Bacillati; Bacillota; Clostridia; Eubacteriales
Source: RNAcentral